CAGAGAACAUCCCUAGAGGAUGGAGCUCCCCACCCUUGUGUAUUAUUACUUUGUUGCUUUGGCGAGCUGCCUUCGGGCCUCAAGCUUUCGAGCUUGGGCGCGCUCGCCAGAGGAUAUCAAAACUCUUUUUAUUAAUGUCGUCUGAGUACUAUAUAAUAGUUAA
This 163-nucleotide ribosomal RNA is filed under the name Valdensinia heterodoxa. RNAcentral's name for it is "ITS1 ribosomal RNA". The record is from RNAcentral. Lineage: Eukaryota; Fungi; Ascomycota; Leotiomycetes; Helotiales; Sclerotiniaceae.